Non-coding RNA from Podarcis lilfordi (Lilford's wall lizard), 78 nucleotides. The record is from the annotation of a GenBank genome assembly. NCBI's taxonomy places the organism in Eukaryota, Metazoa, Chordata, Lepidosauria, Squamata, Lacertidae.
CCCACUGGAUAGCUCAGCUGGUUAGAGUGCGGUGCUGAUAAUACCAAGGUUGCAGGUUUGAUCCCUGCAUUGCUGGGG